GUAGUCCACGCCGUAAACGUUGGGCGCUAGGUGUGGGGCUCAUUCCACGAGUUCCGUGCCGCAGCUAACGCAUUAAGCGCCCCGCCUGGGGAGUACGGCCGCAAGGCUAAAACUCAAAGGAAUUGACGGGGGCCCGCACAAGCGGCGGAGCAUGUUGCUUAAUUCGAUGCAACGCGAAGAACCUUACCUAGGCUUGACAUGCACGGAAAUCUCGCAGAGAUGCGGGGUCCGUAAGGGCCGUGCACAGGUGGUGCAUGGUUGUCGUCAGCUCGUGUCGUGAGAUGUUGGGUUAAGUCCCGCAACGAGCGCAACCCUCGUUCCAUGUUGCCAGCACGUGAUGGUGGGGACUCAUGGGAGACUGCCAGUGAUAUACUGGA
Molecule: ribosomal RNA, 377 nt
Filed under: uncultured bacterium
Lineage: Bacteria
Description: bacterial SSU rRNA
Rfam family: Bacterial small subunit ribosomal RNA
Source: RNAcentral